Molecule: ribosomal RNA, 301 nt
Filed under: uncultured bacterium
Lineage: Bacteria
Description: partial 16S ribosomal RNA
Rfam family: Bacterial small subunit ribosomal RNA
Source: RNAcentral
CAGCCGCCGCGGUAAAACGGAGGGUGCAAGCGUUAAUCGGAAUUACUGGGCGUAAAGCGCACGCAGGCGGUCUGUCAAGUCAGAUGUGAAAUCCCCGGGCUUAACCUGGGAACUGCAUUUGAAACUGGCAGGCUAGAGUCUUGUAGAGGGGGGUAGAAUUCCAGGUGUAGCGGUGAAAUGCGUAGAGAUCUGGAGGAAUACCGGUGGCGAAGGCGGCCCCCUGGACAAAGACUGACGCUCAGGUGCGAAAGCGUGGGGAGCAAACAGGAUUAGAUACCCCCGUAGUCCUGUCUCUUAUACA